This 185-nucleotide unclassified non-coding RNA is filed under the name fungal sp. RNAcentral describes it as "partial internal transcribed spacer region". The record is from RNAcentral. Lineage: Eukaryota; Fungi.
CGCGGUAGAAGAGGUUCUUGCCCUGCUUGUGCAGGCCGAUCGCGUUGUAGAUCUCCGAGCGCGGCUUGUGCGGCAUCAGGCUGCGCAGGAACUGCACGUAGGCCGCCGGGAUCUCCAUGUCGACCAUGAAGUAGGCGCGCGCGAAGCUGAACAGCAUCUGCAGGUCGUCUUCGCCGAACAGCGCC